UAAUGGCUGUCUCAGCUCGUGUUGUGAAAUGUUGGGUUAAGUCCCGCAACGAGCGCAACCCUUAUCCUUUGUUGCCAGCGGUUCGGCCGGGAACUCAAAGGAGACUGCCAGUGAUAAACUGGAGGAAGGUGGGGAUGACGUCAAGUCAUCAUGGCCCUUACGAGUAGGGCUACACACGUGCUACAAUGGCAUAUACAAAGAGAAGCGACCUCGCGAGAGCAAGCGGACCUCAUAAAGUAUGUCGUAGUCCGGAUUGGAGUCUGCAACUCGACUCCAUGAAGUCGGAAUCGCUAGUAAUCGUAGAUCAGAAUGCUACGGUGAAUACGUUCCCGGGCCUUGUACACACCGCCCGUCACACCAUGGGAGUGGGUUGCAAAAGAAGUAGGUAGCUACACGCUACGGAGGGCGAUAUAUAGCUUUUCCU
This 424-nucleotide ribosomal RNA is filed under the name bacterium 14S323. RNAcentral describes it as "bacterial SSU rRNA". It matches the Rfam family "Bacterial small subunit ribosomal RNA", at positions 1043 to 1467 of the family's 1533-position model. The record is from RNAcentral.